AGAGUUUGAUUAUGGCUCAGGAUGAACGCUAGCGACAGGCUUAACACAUGCAAGUCGAGGGGCAGCAUAAAAGUAGCAAUACUUGGUGGCGACCGGCGCACGGGUGAGUAACGCGUAUGCAACCUACCUAUCAGAGGGGAAUAACCCGGCGAAAGUCGGACUAAUACCGCAUAAAACAGGGGCACCGCAUGGUGAUAUUUGUUAAAGAAAUUCGCUGAUAGAUGGGCAUGCGUUCCAUUAGGUAGUUGGUGAGGUAACGGCUCACCAAGCCGACGAUGGAUAGGGGAACUGAGAGGUUGGUCCCCCACACUGGUACUGAGACACGGACCAGACUCCUACGGGAGGCAGCAGUGAGGAAUAUUGGUCAAUGGGCGAGAGCCUGAACCAGCCAAGUCGCGUGAAGGAAGAAGGAUCUAUGGUUCGUAAACUUCUUUUGCAGGGGAAUAAAGUGCAGGACGUGUCCUGUUUUGUAUGUACCCUGAGAAUAAGGAUCGGCUAACUCCGUGCCAGCCGCGGC
Molecule: ribosomal RNA, 517 nt
Filed under: uncultured bacterium
Lineage: Bacteria
Description: bacterial SSU rRNA
Rfam family: Bacterial small subunit ribosomal RNA
Source: RNAcentral